RNAcentral lists this ribosomal RNA (743 nucleotides) under Thaumasia velox. Its description in RNAcentral is "partial 28S ribosomal RNA". The stretch from base 490 to 743 matches the Rfam family "Eukaryotic large subunit ribosomal RNA", at positions 665 to 891 of the family's 3401-position model. The record is from RNAcentral. Lineage: Eukaryota; Metazoa; Arthropoda; Arachnida; Araneae; Pisauridae.
UAAAGGGUGGGCCCUCGAAAUCCUGUGGCGAGAGGAUUCAGUCUGGAGAUGCGCUCGCGCUGGUCGGAAAUCAGAGUAGGGCUUCCCGUGACCGGGGCCGUCCGACCGCGAGCUUGCGCUCCGCCAGACGCAUUUGUCUCUCGCUCGAAGGACGCCGCAGCCCGUCGGGAAGCGAAAGCGUGACGGCCUGGAAGGCGGAUCGACGCAGGUGGCCGGUGGCGCGUCUCGUGCGUGCCGCCGGUUGUUAGCAGAUCCGUCGGUGGCUCGUCUCUCGACGGAGGUAUCGAGAAGCCCUCAGGGGCUCUCACGUCUCCUCCUUUCGUAGGACGCCGGACGGACGGUCGCGAGCGAAGGCAGCCGCGCCGCCGCACUCUUUCGGAGUGGGCGAGCGGUGUUUGUCGGCGCCGACUGCGACCGCGGGGCCGGUUCGGAGGCUGGAGGCUUGCGGCGAGUAGGUCGGUCACCCACCCGACCCGUCUUGAAACACGGACCAAGGAGUCUAACAUGUGCGCGAGUCAAUGGGUCUCGAAUAAGCCCAGAGGCGCAAUGAAAGCGAAAGUCGGCAGUCCGUCGACCGAGUCGGGAUCCCUCCUCUCGGGGGGGGCGCACCGACGACCCGUCCUAUGCUGCUCGCAGCUUGGGCGGAGUGUGAGCGUACACGUUGGGACCCGAAAGAUGGUGAACUAUGCCCGGACAGGACGAGGCCAGAGGAAACUCUGGUGGAGGUCCGCAGCGGUCUGACG